CAUUUGACGUCAGUCGCCAUUGCUAAUCUUUAACACCAACGCCAUUUUAUUGUGGAUGGUUGCUGAGGAUUAGUCGAAGACAAAAUUUUAUUUUCAAACAAAUUUUCUUAAAUCAUCUGAAAUUUAUUAUACUUAUUACAAUUAGUCAAUAUGAAACGCGAAGAAGGUGAAAAAAUGGAACCCGAACAGUUCCGCAAAUUAUUUAUUGGUGGAUUAGAUUUCCGUACUACUGAUGAAUCAUUGAAGUCACAUUUUGAACAAUGGGGUACAAUAGUAGACGUUGUUGUUAUGAAAGAUCCUACAACAAAAAGAUCGAGAGGCUUUGGGUUUAUCACUUACUCUAAAGCUCAUAUGGUAGACGAUGCACAAAAUGCUAGACCACACAGAGUGGAUGGAAGGGUAGUCGAACCUAAGAGAGCAGUGCCAAGACAAGAUAUUGGAAGACCGGAAUCAGGAGCUACUGUUAAAAAGUUAUUCGUGGGUGGUAUGAAAGAUGACAUUGAAGAAGAAGAUUUGAAGGAAUAUUUUGGAAAAUACGGAACAAUUUUAACUGUUAGUAUAGUAACAGAUAAGGAGACUGGAAAAAAAAGAGGAUUUGGUUUCGUUGAAUUUGAAGAUUACGAUUCAGUCGAUAAAAUAGUUUUACAACGUAGUCAUAGCAUUAAAGGGAAACAUAUAGACGUUAAAAAAGCACUGAGUAAGGCAGAAAUGGACCGUGCUCCUAGAGGUGGAGGUAGAGGAGGUCCCGUGGGUGGAGCUGGAAGAGGAGGAAACUUCAAUCAAGGAGGUGGAAAUUGGAACCGAGGUGGACAAGGUGAUUGGAAUCAAGGUGGUCCUGGAGGUUAUGGUAAUGGACCUUGGAACCAAGGUCCUUGGCAUAACCAAGGUCCUGGUGGACCAGGGGGGCCAAUGGGGGGUCCUAGUGGACCUUGGGGACAAGGUGGUUUCAAUCAAAAUAGCGGUCCAUGGAAUCAGGGUGGCCAAGAUGGGUUUGGUAACAACUAUCAACAAGGUUAUGGUGGUGGUGCGAUGAGAAACAGUUACCAGCAACCACGAUCCGCUCCAUACAAUGCCGGUGGUUUCGGUGGUGGAGGUUACUCCAAUGGCAACCAAGGAGGUCCUGGGCCAAGGAGAUUUUAAAGCAUAAUUUUAUGAUUAACGAACAAUUCUGCAGAGCGUGGGGCGCAGACGUACAAACACUGAGCUCUACCGGCUCCAUGAACACCCAAGUCUGGUGAUAGAAGUCAAGAGGGCCAAACUCAAAUGGCUAGGUCGCUAGGAGCAUAUGCCUGAGGAGCGGGGGAUGCGCAAAGCGUAUCGGCAGAAGCCCCCUAGGCGAUGGCGCAAACGGUGGAUGGAUGAUGUCGAAGAGGAUCGUCGGGAGCUAGGUGUGAGGGGGUGGAGACGAAUCGUGUUGACUGGAGGAAUGUAGUGGACGAGGCCAAGGCUCUUUGAGGGCCGUAGUGUCAGUGCGUCGACACAACAAGUAUGGUCUUUCGAACAUCGCCAAGGGAUAUGUGAGUAUGUGAAACAGGUAAAAAGUGGAUAAAUCACAUAAAUAUGAAUGGUGCAUACACCUCGAGACACAGAGAUUCACAAAUCUAUUGAAUGGGGUGAUUCGUUAAAGGUAUAUCAAAAAUACACAAUUUUAGUUAAAAAUGUGAGAAAAUCUACACAAAAAAACUUAUUGGUACAAGGGGUCAAUAUUACAAAAUAGAUUUUCUACUUUAUUCCUAUUGAAAAAUUAUUCAAGUCGUGUCCCAUGACGAGUUAAAAGUAUCUAUAUAUGGCAAAAUACUUAUAGUAAAAUCAUGAAAAUUUCUACGUUUGGGAUUUCGGAUACGAUCUUUUUAACUAAAAUAUUGGCCGACUGUAACUUUGUUAUUCUAAAUGUAACACCCUGUAUAUUGAUACAUUUUUGAAAUCUACGAAAGAUUUUGGACUUUUGUAUAAAAACUUUCUUUGAAAAAUUCAUACUUUUUGAGUUAUUAAUUUUUUUGUAAAAAAUCUGACCGCUGCAGACCCUCAUAAAUUAUUUUUUUACGGGAAAACCCUUAAAAAUAUGAAAAUGGUUUUUGUUCGGUUGCCUUUGGCAAGGUCAGACGUAUUCAAAUCUAUGUUGAAACAUUUUUCAUUUUAUACAGGGUGUGUAUAAAAAGUGUUAAACUUCAUAAAUACCAAGUUUCAAAUAGAAUCACCCGGUUUUUUCUAUUUUAAUGCAUUCAGGGGUAGAAAUAAAGCAAGUUCAUGUAUACUUUCGUAUACCAUCAAUCAAAUUUGAUUUUUUUACAGACCUUGACAAGAUAAAACAUACUUUUUUACUUCUUAGUGCUUGUGUCAUCGCGUCAAAAUAAAAUUUAGACUACACCUGCAUCUCUAAAAAUUUACAAAAAACAUUUAAUAUCUGGAUAACGGUAACGUUUGUAUAUAGGAAAGUAUACAUGGAUCUAUCUUAUUUUUUACCCCUGAUGCAUUAGAAUAGAAAAAACCGGGUGAUUCCAUUUAAAAAAAAAAUAAAGAAAUUUGAUAUUUAUGAAGUUAAACUUGGAACACUUUUUAUACACAUCCUGUAUAAAACGAAAAACUUUUCAACAUAGAUUCAAAUACAUUUGACUUUGCUAAAAGCAACCGAGCAGAAACCAUUUUCAUAUUUUUAAGGGUUUCCUCGUAAAAAAAUAAUUUAUAAGGGUCUGCAACGGUCAACUUUUUUGCAAAAAAAUUAACUCAAAAAGUAUGUAUUUUUCGAAAGUUUUCAAACAAAAGUAUACUAAAAUUUUACGUAGAUUUCAAAAAUGUAUUAAUAUACAGGGUGUUCCAUUUAAAAUAACAAAGUUACAGAUGAUUUCCGGUUCUACCGGUAGAACCGGAAGUUGGUCAUCUUUGAAAAUAUUUAAGUUAAAAAUAUCGUAUCCAAAAUCCCAAACGUAGAAAUUUUCAUGAUUUUACAAUAAGUAUUUAGCCAUAUACAGAUAGUUUUAACUCGUCGUGGGACACCCUGUAUAACCCAAUUAUUAUAUUGUAUAUCAAUGUUGAAAUACGAUUUUAUAAAAAAUUCAAAUUACCAGAAAGUGGGAUGUACAACAAAUACCUUCAAAAGACAUAAAAAUGGAAACGUCAAUAAAAUUUCUCGGUAUUUGGUCACACGCUAAGCUGGAACCAUCAUAUUAGAAAUCUUCUAACUUGCAACAAACGAUUAAAUAUUACUGAAAAUGCUAACGAACAAAGAACGGAGUGCAGAUCGACAAACAUUACUAACAUUGUACCGAACACUUAUUCGAUCAGAACUAGACUAUGGAUCAAUUGUAUAUUUAACAGCAAUCAAAUCGCUUCUGACAAAAACUCGAUAGCUUUCACAAUUCAGCCUCACGUUUGAUAACAGUUGCAUUCGAAACAACACCAGUGGAAAGUCGGGAAAGGAGGCAGAACAUUAUAUUUGAGCAUGAAUCCAUAAUAAUUCCAAUACUAAAACCGCAAACCAUUAGAACCCAUCCUGAAUCCUAUCGACACGACAAGAAAACACGUUCGUUUCAAACCGCUAUUGCGCACAAAUUCUAUAAUAGUGACGGAAACGUGUUUUGGGACGUGCAUAGACAAGAUAACUAGAUACCCAACGCAUUACUCGUAGGCGCGCAAUCUCGUUGUUUAAUAGCCAGACCUCGUAUUAUCAUAAUAUUAUAGUAGAAAUUCGAUUAUCCGGCCCUCAGUUAUACGGAUUCGCGAUUAUCCGGACUAUCAACUUAAUAGCCAGACCUCGUAUUAUCACAAUAUUAUAGUAGGAAUUCGAUUAACCGGCCCUCAGUUAUACGGACUCGCGAUUAUCCGGACUAUCAACUUAAUAGCCAGACCUCGUAUUAUCAUAAUAUUAUAGUAGGAAUUCGAUUAUCCGGCCCUCAGUUAUACGGAUUCGCGAUUAUCCGGACUAUCAACUUAAUAGCCAGACCUCGUAUUAUCAUAAUAUUAUAGUAGGAAUUCGAUUAUCCGGCCCUCAGUUAUACGGAUUCGCGAUUAUCCGGACUAUCAACUUAAUAGCCAGACCUCGUAUUAUCAUAAUAUUAUAGUAGGAAUUCGAUUAUCCGGCCCUCAGUUAUACGGAUUCGCGUUUAUCCGGACUAUCAACUCAAUAGCCAGACCUCGUAUUAUCACAAUAUUAUAGUAGGAAUUCGAUUAUCCGGCCCUCAGUUAUACGGAUUCGCGAUUAUCCGUACUAUCAACUCAAUAGCCAGACCUCGUAUUAUCAUAAUAUUAUAGUACGAAUUCGAUUAUCCGGCCCUCAGUUAUACGGAUUCGCGAUUAUCCGGACUAUCAACUUAAUAGCCAGACCUCGUAUUAUCAUAAUAUUAUAGUAGGAAUUCGAUUAUCCGGCCCUCAGUUAUACGGAUUCGCGAUUAUCCGUACUAUCAACUCAAUAGCCAGACCUCGUAUUAUCAUAAUAUUAUAGUACGAAUUCGAUUAUCCGGCCCUCAGUUAUACGGAUUCGCGAUUAUCCGGACUAUCAACUUAAUAGCCAGACCUCGUAUUAUCACAAUAUUACAGUAGGCAUUCGAUUAUCCGGCCCUCAGUUAUAUGGAUUCGCGAUUAUCCGGACUAUCAACUUAAUAGCCAGACCUCGUAUUAUCACAAUAUUAUAGUAGGAAUUCGAUUAUCCGGCCCUCAGUUAUACGGACUAUCAACUGCGACCAAUUAAAUAAUUGAGUAAUAUUGAGCCAAGUUACAAAAUGUUUAACGUAUGUACUAAAAGUCGAAUUUAUGCAAGCACGAACGAGUCGGAACUGGCAUUACCCCGCCCGCGCCCCAAGGGAUCGCUGCCCCGCGCGCGUUUCGUUAUUGUUUUAGUUAGUUGUCACUUCGCUAUGAUGUGCGUGUCGCGUCUAAAUAUUUGAAAAUUUCAAAGCGUAAGAGAGUGGUGUUAUCGCUCAAAGACAUAAUAAAAAUUAUUGUAAGUUGGCUGUUGAGUAUGGUGUAGGUCAGGGGCCGGCAACCUUUUGUGUCAGGAGGGCCAAAAAUUACAAUUUACAAAAUUUCAAAGUUUCUAAAGAGCCACAAAAUUUUUUAUUAUCAAUAAUAAUAAGUAUAAACUGAUCUUUCAUUUAUAAAAGUAGUGUUUUUCACAAUAAAUUGGAUAAUUUAAAUACACAAUCAUUUAAGUGAAAGAAAUAAAACAAAUAAACAUUUACCCACAACUCUAACUUCAAUAACAAACAAUUGGACCAACAAAUUCAAUGGAAGCAAACUUGUUUUAAAUUUCAAACAUGACUCUAAAUUUUCAUUUAUCAGUUGACUUUAAUAGUCAGCUAUUCAAAUAGCAAUUUCUUCCCCUCACUGUAGAAGCUUUGCAGACUAUUCCAUCCGUCGAAUCGUUGUUGUCCCUUUAUUUUUCCCUGUUAUACUUCUUGCUCCAUCAGUUGUUAUUGAGACGAUUUUCUUUAAAUUGAUCUCAUUGUCUUCAAAACAUUUUUGCGCGGUAUUCGCUGUACCUUCUCUAGUUUGUCCCGAGAGAGAUAGCAAUCUUAGAAGUUCUUCUUUGGACCUUGAGACGACAUAUAUCAAACAAAUUUGUACCUUGUCUUUUAUGUCGCAUGACUUAACGAUAGCGAGUGAUAGAAGAGGCAGAUUAAAUAUCUUCCACCUUCAAAUAUGUUACAUUAGACAUUUCAGCUAUUCUAUCUUCUACUGUUCUAGCGGAUAAUGGUAGAUUUUUUAUUUUUCUCAAGAUUUCUGGUUUGUUAUGAAACAUUUCUUUACGUGGAUCGCGAGGAGGGGACGAAAAAAGCAAGUAGAAGUCGCUAAGAGAGAUAGAAUCGAUACUUAAUCCUUAUUAAUAGAUUCAGAACGAUUAUUGAAUAUUUUUUUUAUAAAAUCAAUAAUAUUUGCGUGUGGUACUAAAAAGCCGCAACUUCACAUCCAAAGAGCCGCGGGUUCCGACUCAUGGUGUAGGUACAUCCACGAUAAGUUAUAUAAAGAAGAAUGCCGAUUCAAUUUUGUUGUACACCUGCAAAUUAGAUAGUGAAGACGGAAGUAAACAUCGGGAAAUGAUGUAAAAACCGAAAAACGAACUUUUAGAAGACGCUUUGUAUUGUUGGUUUUUACAAAAACGAUCAACUGGGCGACCGAUAUCUGGACCUUUACUCUGUGAAAAAGCAUUACAGUUAAAUAAAAAAUUUGAUUGUGAUGAAUCGUUUGUUGCAAGUAACGGAUGGUUGUACAGAUUUAAAUAUCGUCAUGGAAUUCGUGAAUUGGAAAUACAAGGUGAAAAAAUGUCCAGCUAAUGUAGACGCAACAAACUCUUUUAAAGGUGGUUUUUAGAAGAAAUUGGAUGAAAAUAACUAUGACUUGGAUUUUGUCUAUAAUGCUGAUGUAACCGGAUUAAACUUGACAUCAUUACCUUGAAAAUCUUUGGUUUCUAGGCGAGACAAUUCAGCUCCAGGAUAUAAAACUAGCAAAGAGCGGGUAAGUAGAUUAGUGUGCGCUAAUGCAAUCGGGGCCCAUAAAAUACCUUUGCUCUUUAUCGGAAAAUAAAAAAACCAGGUGUUUUAAAAAUAUCAGAGUGCCCUUAAUUUAUAAAAAUCACAAAAACCCAUGGAUGAACUCUGAAAUAUUCAUUGUCAUCACUUUUAUCCCUGAAAUUAAAAAAAAAAACAAAACCAAAUUCGCAAGCAAGGUAAUGUACUACUUUACUGGAUAAUGCGACUAUGAUUCUAAAAAAUUUCAAAAACAUAUCAAGCAACGCGAGGAGUAAGAUGAGGAUGUAUACUAAUCCCCUUCUCGGUUGCUUUUGAUGAGAGUAUAAAAGAAGCAACACUCAACAAGGUGGGAUAUUGGAAUAUAGAAUAGGUCAAAGUUAAAGACGAGACUAUAGAACUACGAUAAAAACUGAGAAAUAUAUAAUGCAAACUUUGAGUACAUCUACAUGAAGAUAAAUAAGAAACAAACCGGAACAAGUUAAAUACGUAGGCUCAAACAUAAUGUAACAGACAAUGAACGAACAGAACAAUCGGACAUACGCGGUUCUGGUUAGAUGGAGAUAACUGAAGAUGGCGGAUUAGUACGUAGGCUACGGGAGUCCCACAUUUCCAUCAGAGCACCUGGUCGAAUCCGUUACUUUACUGCGCAUUCGAUGUAAUUCGUUUCUCAAUAUAGAACAGGAUACAAAGAAAGUUAUUUCCGUCAAAUGUUAGAGGUGUUCCUUUUGAUUUCUUGUAUCGUGUCCCUUCUGCCUUUUUAUUUCUCUACUCGUUUAUUUCAUUUCACGAAUCACCACACGAUGAAACAAAGAUCUAAAUUAAAACAGAAGCUGUUUAAUAUUACUACGUCUAUGAAUGCAUUACAUUAAUGAAAUCGCACAGAAAAACAUUCUCAAAACUCCACCAAACAAGUUAUAGUUCUUCCAAUAUCAAUUGCAGAUUAUAAAUACCCUUGACGACAAUUUUGUUUGAUCUACCAUAGGCGUGGAUACCUCAUUUUAUAAAUUUAUUAUUUUUAUAAAUACUUUUAAAAGUAUGUAUAUCUUAUGAGAGAAAGUAUUCGUUAAAAGGCAAUCGAAUCAUUAUAAAUUGGACGGCAUUAUACGCCGUUAUUUAGACAGAUGCACUUAAUUGUAGUCCUACUUGGAACUUGGAAAAAAAUCAUUAUUAUACCUCGUUAACAUGCUACAACUGAAUAUUAUAUUAUAAAACGUAAAUAGACGAGUAAAAUGUACUUAUCUGUAAGGAAGUUUGGUUUAAACAGGGUACUAGACGUGACUGAGCCCUUUUUAUACUCCAUUCGUCUAUUAGAAUGUCUGUAGUCUUAUAUCUGACUCAAAUAAUCUUGUCGCCAUCGAACUAUCCUUGACUAUUCGGUUAUUGCCAUCCUUUUAUUCAGUUUUUUGUGGAUAAUUAAAUUCUGGAUAAUAUGCUGCAUUACUUCUGUAAAUUGUCCUACAUAUAAAAUCUUGAGUACCUUUGUAAACUGAUUUCAAUUUUUCUUAACAUGUUUUUCAGUUCUGUGAAUGAUCCACAGCAACCUCCUAGUUAAUUCAGCAAUUCUUAUUAUGAUUGCAUUAUCAGAUUGCUGAAUAUUUUUCUAAAUCUUUAUUAUUAAAUUUAUACCUGUGUUUAUUCUCACUUCACUGUGCAAUUUCAUUGUUUUCAUACGCUUAUGGUCCAAAGAACUCCCAUAUUUCUAUUUUUUUAAAGAAAUUUAUGAAUUAAAUAAAUCUCACCAAGCCACGCCGCUGCUUAUCACAGACUGUCUGGCAGGAAUAUUUCAAAGAAAUAUACAUACGCCUUCCGCGUCGGCCAAUAGAAAUGCAUUUAUGUUUACCAUUCGAUGUUUUCAUUGGUUUGUUAGAUGUUUACCGUAUUUUAUACAGGGAGUGAACAUUAUUUUCCAUUUCUUAAUUUGGUAUAAGUGCCGUCCGUAUUUAUGGAAUAAUAUUGAUUUCUAUAACUGUCUUCUGCAAUUGAUAUUUGAAAAACUAAAUCACAAUAAUUGAUAAGAUUAUGGAAGACAUAAACACGAGAUGUUUAGAUAACUUUAAUGAUCACAAUUAUAAUUAAUCAACAACUUUCGCAUCGUUUUAGCUGUUUUGAUGUCCAGUUAAGUUAGGCUCUAAACUGAUAACGCAUAAUUAACUUGAUCUUUUAUCAUAUGAGUAAAUUGUCUACAAAGAUAAUUGGCGAUUUAGCGAUAUUUUAGGACUUCAAAAGUACAGUUUAUUGGUUGGACAUGCUUAAUGAAUCAUCCUGUAUGUAUAAGCCAAAAUUCAAACAUUUUAGUAAUUAAUACUAGAUGGGAAGGGUGUAUUUCAUUUUCAGAUAAAUUAUAUUUUCAAUGUAGUGCUUAUGACAAAAAAAUCACUCAUCAAUAUCAUAAUUCUGUAUAAUAAAAAUUGAAAUUAAUUUCAUACAAUAAAGAUAAGAUUUUAUAAGAA
RNA transcript from Diorhabda carinulata, 8911 nucleotides. It is a transcript of the gene named heterogeneous nuclear ribonucleoprotein 87F-like, with no coding region annotated. Lineage: Eukaryota; Metazoa; Arthropoda; Insecta; Coleoptera; Chrysomelidae. The transcript has 9 exons. The record is from RefSeq and is a predicted model, not a curated record.